CCUACGGGGGGCUGCAGUGGGGAAUAUUGGACAAUGGGGGCAACCCUGAUCCAGCCAUGCCGCGUGUGUGAAGAAGGCCCUCGGGUUGUAAAGCACUUUCAGUGAGGAAGAACGCCUGGUGGUUAAUACCCAUCAGGAAAGACAUCACUCACAGAAGAAGCACCGGCUAACUCCGUGCCAGCAGCCGCGGUAAUACGGAGGGUGCGAGCGUUAAUCGGAAUUACUGGGCGUAAAGCGCGCGUAGGUGGCUUGAUAAGCCGGUUGUGAAAGCCCCGGGCUCAACCUGGGAACGGCAUCCGGAACUGUCAAGCUAGAGUGCAGGAGAGGAAGGUAGAAUUCCCGGUGUAGCGGUGAAAUGCGUAGAGCUCGGGAGGAAUACCAGUGGCGAAGGCGGCCUUCUGGACUGACACUGACACUGAGGUGCGAAAGCGUGGGUAGCAAACAGGAUUAGAUACCCCUGUAGUC
Molecule: ribosomal RNA, 465 nt
Filed under: Vreelandella stevensii
Lineage: Bacteria; Pseudomonadati; Pseudomonadota; Gammaproteobacteria; Oceanospirillales; Halomonadaceae
Description: partial 16S ribosomal RNA
Rfam family: Bacterial small subunit ribosomal RNA
Source: RNAcentral